Parus major (Great Tit) is the source of this 3724-nucleotide long non-coding RNA. RefSeq lists it as uncharacterized. The record is from RefSeq and is a predicted model, not a curated record. NCBI's taxonomy places the organism in Eukaryota, Metazoa, Chordata, Aves, Passeriformes, Paridae. The transcript has 3 exons.
GGUCCCGAGCCCGCCGGAGCGCACCCGCGGGUGCUGCUCACAGCGACGCCGCCAAAAGGGUGUUUGACCGGGAGCCCAGAGCGCCAGGAGUCGUGACGGCGCGCGGGUGCGCUCCCGAGCGCAUCUCCGUGACCAUCUCCCCAGUGCUCCCGACUUUUCUUUUUCCCACCCUCCCGACGCCUCGGCGCUUUUACGUCUUCCCUCCGUCGCGGCGUGGACUCGGUUGUUUGAGCAGCGGCAUGGCCGUGGUGUUUUUCCUUUCUCGCGGCGAGGCACGGGGCUGCGGGCUGGAGGCGCAGCGCUGCCCGAGCUUCCAGGGAUGGAUGCGCACGGAGAAACUGAUCCUGCCGCUCCGGGAGGGUGAAGCCGCUCGGGCUGAAGCCUGGCCCUGAGAAAGGAGAGCUGUGACUGUGUGUGCGCUACGGGGCUGCAUUAGGGUCUGACUUGCGCUGUCCCGUUUCCAUAUACAAUUCCCCCCUCCCCCGCUCGGAACUGCUAACACGUGGGGUGCCUGGCUGUUCACGAGAGCUAAGUUUUUUGCACAUCAGCACAUUUCUUUUUACUAUAGAGUUUUGGAUACCUAUUUAGCAAAUGCUUAGAGGCCAAGCUGCCAGGAAUCUAGCUCUUCUCAGAGACAGUGGGAGGAAUAUUUUAGUAAAGACUAUGCCCUGAGUGGGAGAACUCUCAGCCAAAAAGAUGUGCUCUGAGUCACGGGUAAAGGCAGUGGAGCUCACAAGUCACCGUCUGGAGCAGGAUCCCGGCAUUUCCCGGCCUUUGCUGAAGGAUGGAGCACCUUGGGUGACCUGACUUGCUCUCCUUGCAGCGGAACUGACACCACAGUCACUAAGCACAGACCGGGCAGCAAGCUCACUUAAUCCUCCCCAGCGAACACAUGAGCCACAGUUUGCCUUUCAGUCUGUAAAUUGUUCUUUUGUUUUGCAGGCUUUAGUGAACACAGUUUUAUUUCAUGUGACUGUGCUAUUUAUGGAGGAGUAAAUAUUGCCGGGGGUCUAUUUAAAAAGGCCAAUGACCUGGAUUUUUUUUUCCAUUUGAAUUAUCUCCAGGAGUCAGACAUGUUUAACAACUGAUUCCCCCCCCACCUUGUUUCUGUAGACUGCAAUAAUUUCUAACAUCUUAGAUCAACACCAACUAAAAAGACAAAGAUUUUGAGUGAAAUAAAACUUCAUGUAGUACGAAUGUGAUCAGACAGUGUGUGACCUUGCCAUUUUUGGAAGAGCUGAAUUCCAUCCUGAUUUACCAGCUAACAACAUAGCAUGUUUUUAGCCUCUGAAUAUAAGCCUUUUUGUACUGUUGUAGUAAUUUGAAUUCAUGACUCUGGUUUGUUCCUUUUAUUGUUGUUUUUACAAAACCAAUUAUAAAGCGCGUUUUCACAAAUUUCAAGUAAAUAAACAAGCCAUGUUUUCAGAAAGGGAAGAUUUAAACAGGCAAAUGUUCUUCCUGCUGUUCCUGCAAUCUAAAUAGCAGUAUCCCUUUGCUAUUUAAGAAAGUUGAACAUGGCAGGGGAAAUAGUGCUAUAUUUACACUUUCAAGAAAGAGCUUUGUGAAUACAAACAGGUAGCCAAGUAUCUGGAAUAUGAAAUAGAUUUGAAUAUUCUUACAAGUCAAGGCAACCACAUAUUUUUAAAUAUAUUUAUUUUCUUAACACUAUACAAUGAGUUGUUCACCAUAGUAUAGCGGGCUUCAACCUGAAAUUUUGCUGUAGACAUAUUUAUCUUUACCCAGUCGUAUAAAAGUAUGAAAAGAUAGAAUUUUUAUAUUGAAUGCUAUUCCAUAUAUGUUCUAGGGUUCUGUGAUGUUUACCAUGUCAUUAAAAGGCACCCUGGCUUCAGUGCAAAGCUAGCUUCAGAAGUAACAACCCUCUUUUCCCCUGGAGAGGUGGAGCAGGUGGACAGGGAUGGGAUUCCCUCAGGCUGGUCUUACUACCAUCACACCUGAUUGGAUUUCUUCAAAAUUUCAUCUUGGAAGGAGCAUACAGGACAACACAUAAUUCAGUGCUCUGAUGGUGUAAACAAUGAGCACAUCUUCAGUAUUAUUCUGGCUUGAACCACACCAGGGAGUAGCCAUGCUGCACAAACUGCCCCGUAUAUAUGCACACAUUUGUGUGUGUGUGUAUAUGUAUGUGUGUAUAUACAUAUAUACACAUUUACAUAUGCAAGUUCUACCAGUUCUGCUUAACCCUUUGGGAAAAUGCUAAGAAGGAAUGGCAAAUCUUGCCCUGUUGAUGUCUUAGAAGAGACAGUUAGUUCAAGGUAUGGAGAAAAGUAUUCCACAUAGCUAUUUGAUAUUUCUUCAAAUGAAAAAAAAACCUGAUUAGUUGGAAAAGAUUAUUUACAGACCAAAAAGCCUUUCUUUAAGGUUUUCCACUGAAGCCCACCACUUAUUACUUCAACCUUCUAAUUUUUAGUGGCCCUUUUCAAACAUUGGAGUUUACCAGCAGGUUAUUUCACACAUUAAAAGGAUGUUGUCUUCCUUAAGUAAAAAUUGCUACUGUGAUAUGAACUGCAGUCAGUGACACCUACAGCCUCCACUAAGAUGAGAACUAGAAGUGCUGUUUCAUUCUCAGUUGUAACAUGUCUUCAGUUCCUGUUUGUAUUACCUAACAAGAGUUUUCAGAUUCUAACUCAAGUCAUGUUUUAAAAAUAAAUUAGCUAAAACUUUAAUUAGCCAGCACUGGUCAGAGCGGAUCACAGUAAAUGCAUAUGCUACUUGGUCUGUCUCUUUGUUAAAAAAGUUGGCAACUUAUAAGAAAAGAAAAAAUUCAAAUUAUUUUCUGUUUUAACAGACCUCAGAAUUCUCUGUGGUGAAGCAGAAUAAUUGCAGUAUAACUGAGCACCUGCUAGUUCCUUUCUAGAUUAUUAAAUUAUAUGCAUGUUCUCAUACAGGAGUAUCUCAGAUUCCCCUUUCCUUAAAGGCAAGAAAAAUACACUUUUCCUUGCCUUUAAAAACUGGUGGCCUGAUUAUUCUCUCCUCUAGUUUUUGGGGACCACAGAACCACCAAACUCAUCAAAUCUACAUUGACAUAAAAUGUACUGAUUCAUGUCAUUAAGGAAAAACUCUCAAAUUAACCCAAAAGUCAAAUUUUAUAAUUUAAAACUUAGGCUUCCAUUUUCAGAAAUUAUUUUUUUUUUAAAUAUUAAGUUUUCCUUGAAAAAAUUACAUUGAAGUGGGGAAAGUAAAGCUUGGCAGGCAGCAGAAGUAUGAGCUGAUGUCUAAGUAAAGCUCAAUGCUAUUCUAAGAGGAUCAGUUCUAAACUGAUUUCUAUAGUUUCUAUAGUUAAAAAUAUCUUCCAGUUUUAUUCAGUACAGGCACAGUCAACUAUCUUUUUUCUUGAUCACCCUAAUGGGUAGAAGAUGGGAUAUCUUCUUGAUAAUUUUUAUUAAUAUUCACCACAUUUCCAAAGUAAUGCAGACAAAUUGGUACUUUAUAUAACUAACCUUAUAUAUUUGAUUUCUGUGGUUCAUAUCUCUGAAUAUUUGUUCCAGAUAAAAAAAUAUUUUCUGUCGUCCAUAAUUUUUACCAGAGAUUUCAGAGUUCCUGGCUUUUUGAGAUAGAAAUGUCUCUGCUGUAAUCCAGUGCUGAAUGUAUUGCUGUCUACACAUGUAAUUACUAAACACUACAAAACUAUUUUGACUGAAAUGUCUUUAGCAUUUUCUUUCCCUGUCCAGCAGGGCAGUGGGGAUUUCAAAAGCUUUUGUUUUUGUGG